AGAUGAAUCUAGGAUUCCUUCAUUACCGCAGUCUACAGUCCUUAGACUCGACUCUUUCCCUUGUUGAAAAUAAGACAUUAAUCCUCAUAGUCUUUGAGUAUUUCUACUUUGUCCUGCCGUGUUUCUAACUUAUUAACUCAGGAAAGUUGUUACAAUUCAGUGGGUCUCAUGUUACUUCACUUUAAAAAUAAAGGUGUUUAAGUCAGAUGACUUCUACAUUUCUGAGUGCAAGUCUGGAAAUACCUAGACGAUACUGAGUAUUGUUUCUGUGUUCACUUUCUGUGCAUUCUUGAAGUAACUCAGUUCUGUGUGUUUGGCUCUGGAAAAUGAAAAGACACUCAUUAAUUCAGGUUGGACAGAAUGUUUAGACAUUAUCAGUCAAAUAGUAGACUGAUAAUAUUUAGAGUGGCCAGUUCUUUUUUCCUUGCCUUGGAUUUUUAAUUGUUAAUUUCUAAUACACACUGUUUUUUUUUAUUUUUAUUUUUUAAAUUUUUUAAAGUUUUAUUGAAGUGUAGUGGAUUUACAAUGUUAUGAUAAUUUCUGCUGUACAGCAAAGUGGCAUGUGCACACAUCCCUUCUCUUUCAGAUUCAUUGCCCAUGUAGAUUGUCACAGAAUAUUGGGUAGAGUUCUCUGUGUUAUACAGCAGGUCCCCGUUGGCCAUAUACCUCAGGGUGCCUGUGACAAUUCCAAACUCCCAGUCCAUCCCUCCCCAACUUGUCCUCUUUGGUAACCAUAAAUUUUUUUCAAAAUCUGUGGGUCUAUUUCUGUUCUGCAAAUAAGUUCAUUUGUAUCCUUUUUUAAGAUCAUAUAACAUGUAAGUGAUAUCAUAAGACGUUUGUCUUGCACCAUCUAAUUUCACCUAGUAUGAUAAUCUCUAGGUCCAACCAGAUUGCUGCAAAUGGUAUUGUUUCAUUCGUUUUCAUGGCUGAGUAAUACUCCGUUGUGUGUGGUGUGUGUGUGUAUCACAUCUUCUUUAUCCAUUCUUCUGUUAAUGGACAUUUAGGUUGCUUCCAUGUCUUGACUAUUGUGAAUAGUGCUGGGGUGCAUGUUUCUUUUUGAACUAUGGUUUUUGCUGGAUAGAUGCCCUUGAGUGGGAUUGCUGGGUCAUGGGGUAGUUCUGUAUUUCUCCAUACUGUUUUGACAACCUCCAGGAGACCUCCCCUUCCAAUGCCCUGACUCCACAGUGAGCCACAGCCACCUCCUGCUUUCCUAGGAGACCCUCUAAGAUCCACAGGGUAAGUCUGACCCAGAUUCAUAGAGUCCCUGCUUUGCCCUGGGACCCAGUGCACAUGAAACCCUGUGUGUACCUUCUAAGAGUAGAGUCUCUUUUUCCCCCAGUCCUGUGGAGCUCCUGCACACAAGCCUUACUGGCUUCAAUGCUAAACACUCUGGGGGCUGCACCUCUCUAUGCCUGACCCCCAGGCUGGGGAACCUGACAUGGGGUUCAGAACUCUCAAUGCUGGGAGAUAGUUAUUUUCCAGUCUCUGGGUCGCCCACAGGCGGUUAUGGGAAAGUACCUCUCCUAUCAUCAUCUUGAUGUGGCUUCUUUAUCGUUGGGUGUAGGAUAUCUUUUUUGGUAGUUUCCAGUUUAUUUCGUUGAUGGUCGUUCAGCAGUUAGUUGUAAUUUUGGUGUUUUUGUGAGAAGACGAGUGUAAGUCCUUCUACUCUGCCAUCUUUUCUCUCCCUCUGAGAGUUAUCUUGCACUGAAUUUUUAAGACUCCUCCCUCUGUUUUUCCCUUUGAACAGUACCAUCUGCUGCUUGGUUCCUUUGCACUGACUAAGGCCAGCAUGCUCAUCUAGGAGAAUGCUCCAAACAGUCUAAGGGUAUGAGGAGAGGAAUCUCAGAAGCUGCUUCUGUUUCUUUAUUUUAAUGGAUGCUUGGGUUGUAGAGCUAUUUUAUUCCAGUCUGAUGGUGUUGCAUGACUCAGUGUAGAUGAUUCCCACAGGAAGGUCUGAUUUUUGUUCUUUGACUCAACACUAAAAAUAGAGACCUCAACUCAUUCUGGACUCAGCUGUCAUGUGCCAUCAAAACCUGGGCAUGGUUGCUUGUAGCUUUGAAAAAAUCACUGCAUUCUUUGGGUUAAAAUAAGAAACAAACAAAUAUACAGGUAGGAGCCUGAAAUGUUGUUUCACCAGGUACUGUUUUUAUUCUGGGUGAAUUCUGCAGCUGCAGGUAGUUUUUCUUUCAAAUUUAUUUAAAUGCAAUUCUUUCCAAAGCUAAGUAUAAGUAGAUAUGGCCAAGAAAAGAGAUAUUCUGACUCAUCAUGUAGUCUUGUUCAGUAUGCCUUCUGAAUAACAAUGAAUGCUGAUGGACCUUGACUUUUAAGAGUCUCAUUUUGGGGAGGACAAAUCAUCUGUUACCAUUCUCACUUCAGGAGUAAAGCAGGUUGAGGCUGAAUGAAUACUGCCUCAAGUCACAGAACGAAUGAGUCAGUGGACUAGAACUAGAACUAGGAUUUAUAUUAUUAGCCACGUCAAGUCUUUCUACUACUGGAACCCUAUGCCCCCUCCCACCAACAAAAAUACAUCAAAAUGUUAGGCAGAGUCUAUCCUGGCUUCUUCAUGAGUCCUGCCCUUGGGGCCAUCACACACAUUUGUUGUCUCUUGUCCUUAAUGUUUGUGAUGCAAAGUUGAGCCCCUCCUUUCUUAGUUCUCUGUAGCCUUCCCAUAGUUAUCUGUCCUGGCUAGACUGCUUCUUGUAUAAACACCUCCUUUAACACUGGACACAGAGCUGGGUCCUGGGAGGAAAAUAAAGUUUUCAGGUCAGAAAAAAAAGACUCUCCCAGACCCACUUUAAGGCUUGUUCUUAUUAUGCAGGUGGAUUUCUAUGUGCAACUCCAAUUAUUCAUAGAUUCAUAGAUCCACCCUUUAGCAGCAGAAAGAGAGAAAGGAGUUAUUAUACCUAAAUCAAGUCCUUUGGUACCAUGGUUGAUAAAAUUCUCAAACAUUUCACUGGGAAAGAUCUCCCAGUGUUUCUGAACCAAUCUGUUACGUAAUUGUCUGGCUAGGACAUUCAGUCAAAUUGCUGCAGGAACUGGUUUGACUCUGAGUUGGUAAAUUCAGUCAUGCAAUUCAUAGUAAUGGUUAAUUAAAUGUUAACAUAUUCAAAUUAGGUUUAUAUGCUCCCAUAACUAAUGUUCAUCCCAAAUCUCCCUUUGUUUAGUUCCAGCUUAUGUUCUGGGAAGUUACUAGUAAUGACACAAAGCCCUAAUACAAAGCAUGCUGUAGACAUUUCAUUAAGACUUAGACCAAUCUGCCAAGACAAAUAGGGAGCUGGUGUAUUUCAUUUCCUUUGAGCACUGGGUGGAGGAGGGCAGCCUUAGAGACUGUGCAGUUACAUGCGUAGGAGCAGAUUCAUUCAAGAGCCAUUAUGUCCACAAUAUUCUGCUAAUUAGUGUCAAUACUCCCUCAUCAGAGGUCAUGAGUGUGACACUGAAAAUGACCUUGGUGGACUCAGGACAUUUUUCCAAAUCCGUGCCUUCAUUUUAUGUACUUUGAGUCUGCUGGUUGUCAGUGUAUCAGCUCCAAAUCCCCCGUUCUUUGCCCUGCUUUGUGCUACUGGAGAUGGACCCUGGACCAGUUCUCCUUUGACAGCUGGUGCAGUGAUAGUCCUCAACAUUAGAGAAUAUGGGAGAGACACUGCAAGAGGAAGAGGCUUCUCUUUUUCUUUCUGGGGUUGUAUUUUUCUUGCUCUUACGGCCUGGCACGUGGCUUUCCUAUAAGGGGGCACAGGAGAGCCAGAGGUUCACACCCUCCAGUGAUUUCUGUUACUUCCUGUUGAGUUCCUUGGGCACUUUCCUGGUGGCCAUUCCUGCCCUGUGGCGUCUCAGGAAUCUAGAGAUUCUCCACCAUCCAGGGGGCUAUAGGUGCACAAACAUAUCUGCCAUGGGGAGGGUCUCAGCCAUGGAGUAGGGUCUUUUCCAUGUUUGUUCCUUCCUUGGGUACCCUCUCUGCACCUGGGAGGCAGAGCCUGCACACUG
Molecule: long non-coding RNA, 3981 nt
Filed under: Sus scrofa (pig)
Lineage: Eukaryota; Metazoa; Chordata; Mammalia; Artiodactyla; Suidae
Description: lncRNA (ENSSSCG00000053808.1)
Source: RNAcentral